This 446-nucleotide ribosomal RNA is filed under the name uncultured bacterium. RNAcentral describes it as "partial 16S ribosomal RNA". It matches the Rfam family "Bacterial small subunit ribosomal RNA", at positions 338 to 795 of the family's 1533-position model. The record is from RNAcentral.
CCUACGGGGGGCAGCAGUCGAGAAUCAUUCACAAUGGGGGCAACCCUGAUGGUGCGACGCCGCGUGGGGGAAUGAAGGUCUUCGGAUUGUAAACCCCUGUCAUGUGGGAGCAAAUUAAAAAGAUAGUACCACAAGAGGAAGAGACGGCUAACUCUGUGCCAGCCGCCGCGGUAAUACAGAGGUCUCAAGCGUUGUUCGGAAUCACUGGGCGUAAGGCGUGCGUAGGCGGUUUCGUAAGUCGUGUGUGAAAGGCGCGGGCUCAACCCGCGGACGGCACAUGAUACUGCGAGACUAGAGUAAUGGAGGGGGAACCGGAAUUCUCGGUGUAGCAGUGAAAUGCGUAGAUAUCGAGAGGAACACUCGUGGCGAAGGCGGGUUCCUGGACAUUAACUGACGCUGAGGCACGAAGGCCAGGGGAGCGAAAGGGAUUAGAUACCCGGGUAGUC